This 368-nucleotide unclassified non-coding RNA is filed under the name Hevea brasiliensis (rubber tree). Lineage: Eukaryota; Viridiplantae; Streptophyta; Magnoliopsida; Malpighiales; Euphorbiaceae. The record is from RNAcentral.
GUUUAAGCAAGAUGAAUUUUAGUAUAAUGCUUUUAAAGCAGAUGAAGAUGUGCUGAACUCUAUUUUAUUUCAUGCAUUGCUGAAAGAACCAUAAGCAAUUGUGUAUUUAAGUGUAAGAAGAAUUAAAUCUAGAACCAUAUGGAAACAUGCAUUAAAUUCAUUUGGUCAACUUAAGUGGCUAGUAGAAAUCUACAUUGCAUCAAAAGCCAUGACAAUUGUUGGAAGAAUUUCUGGCCCAUGGUGGCAAUGGAACUCAGAUUAAGAAGCCCACACUUGUUGAUGCACAAGUUACAUGAAGUAGCGUUUGAGAAAAGCAGUGAUUGCUUGUAUUAGGUGUAACGGUGAGGCUCCAACCACUAGAGGAAUUG